GACGUCGAUAUUCGACGUCAUAAACACGAAAAAAUUUGGUGUUUAUGACGUCGAUAUUCGACGUCAUAAACACGAACGAAUUUGGUGUUUAUGACGUCGAUAUUCGUCGUC
This is a non-coding RNA of Paramuricea clavata, 111 nucleotides long. NCBI's taxonomy places the organism in Eukaryota, Metazoa, Cnidaria, Anthozoa, Malacalcyonacea, Plexauridae. The record is from the annotation of a GenBank genome assembly.